RNAcentral lists this long non-coding RNA (543 nucleotides) under Trifolium pratense (red clover). RNAcentral's name for it is "long non-coding RNA (TPRA_LNC003316)". The record is from RNAcentral. Lineage: Eukaryota; Viridiplantae; Streptophyta; Magnoliopsida; Fabales; Fabaceae.
AAUCUAAGAGGACUCUAGAUGGUUAAUUCAUAUUGUGCAUAAGCUGACUUGGUGUGUAAGCUAGCAAAAGUGAAAGUGAAACUAAUUGCUUCUUAGGCAAGUUAGUUAGUUUGUUAGUGAAGUUUGUUAAUAGAGUUUGUUAGAUUCAGUUAGUUUGUUUUACCUAGGUUGUUAAAGUGUAUUAGAUUCAGUUAGAAAGUUGUUAGUUGGUUAGGGCCUAAGAGAAUCAUCAACCAUUGUGAUGAUCUAGUAUAAAUAAUUGGCUCAUGAUUAGUGAUUGUAAUCAACUACUUUUUCCCCAUUGUGGAUGAAUAAAACUGAUUCUAUUUUUCCCUAAUCUUCUUCUUCUUCCUCUGUUAAACAAGUGCUUUUCAUUCUUUCCAUUCAUUCACCAUUGUUGCAGCAACAAGGAUAGUAGAUCCUGCAGAAACUGUGCUCAUUGGCGUGGCCAGAGUGACAGUGCAGCGCGCGCGUGUAUCCUUGCUUGCUUGCUAGGCCUGUGCAGGCCAAAGUGAUCGAAGCCUAGCUUCAGCUGCGCCAACA